This 484-nucleotide ribosomal RNA is filed under the name uncultured bacterium. RNAcentral's name for it is "partial 16S ribosomal RNA". It matches the Rfam family "Bacterial small subunit ribosomal RNA", at positions 30 to 507 of the family's 1533-position model. The record is from RNAcentral.
AUUGAACGCUGGCGGCAGGCCUAACACAUGCAAGUUGAGCGGAUGAAGGGGGCUUGCUCCUGGAUUCAGCGGCGGACGGGUGAGUAAUGCCUAGGAAUCUGCCUGGUAGUGGGGGAUAACGUCCGGAAACGGGCGCUAAUACCGCAUACGUCCUGAGGGAGAAAGUGGGGGAUCUUCGGACCUCACGCUAUCAGAUGAGCCUAGGUCGGAUUAGCUAGUUGGUGGGGUAAAGGCCUACCAAGGCGACGAUCCGUAACUGGUCUGAGAGGAUGAUCAGUCACACUGGAACUGAGACACGGUCCAGACUCCUACGGGAGGCAGCAGUGGGGAAUAUUGGACAAUGGGCGAAAGCCUGAUCCAGCCAUGCCGCGUGUGUGAAGAAGGUCUUCGGAUUGUAAAGCACUUUAAGUUGGGAGGAAGGGCAGUAAGUUAAUACCUUGCUGUUUUGACGUUACCAACAGAAUAAGCACCGGCUAACUUCGUG